UAGGGUUUAGUUUAGUGUUAGGGUUAUGGUUAGGGAUCAGGUUUAGGGGUUAAGGUUCGGUUUUAGGGUUUAGUGUUAGAGUUUAGGGUCAGGGUCAGUGUUUAGUGUCAGGGUCAGGGUUUAGGGUCAGGGUCAGGUUUAGGGUCAUGGUCAGGGUUAGGGUCAUGGUCAUGGUUAAGGGUCAUGGUCAGGGUUUAGGGUCAGGGUCAGGGUUAGGGAUUAUUGUCAGGAUUAAGUUUAGGGUUUGUUUUGGGGUUAGGGUUUAGGGUUUAGGGUUAGAGUUUGGGUAAGUUUAGGGCCACGGAUUAGGGCUGGGGUUAGGGUUUAGUGUUUAGUGUUAGAGUUUAGGUUAGGGUCAGGGUUAGAGGUUAGUGUCAGGGUUAGGUUUAGGUUUUGUUUUUGUGUUAGGGUUUAGGGUUAGGGUUUGGGUAAGGUUAGGGCUACGGGUUAGGGCUGGGGUUAGGGUUUAGUGUUUAGUGUUAGAGUUUAGGGUCAGGGUCAGGGUUAGGGGUUAGUGUCAGGGUUAGGUUUAGGGUUAGGAUUUUGGGUUUAGGGUUAGGGUUAGGGGUUAGGGUUGGGGCUAGGGCUAGGGCUUGGUGUUAAGGCUAGGUGUAGGGCUAGGGUUUUAGGGCUAGAGUUUAGGGUUAGGGUUAGGGUUUGGGUUAGGCUUAGGGUUUUGGGUUAGGCUUAGGUUUAGGGUUAGGCUUUAGGGUUAGGGUUUAUGGUUAGGGUUAGGGUUUAGGGUUUGGGGUUAGGGUUAGCGGUUAGGGUUAGGUUUAGUGUUCUGGGUUAGGGUUAGGUUUAAUGUUUAGGGUUAGGUUUUAGGGUUUGGGUUAGUGUUAGAGUUAGGGCUAGGGCUAGGACUUGGGGUGGUGUCUACGGCUAGGGCUAGUGAUAGUGUUUGGGUUUAGUGUUCGGGUUAGGGUUCAGGUUAGGCUUCGGGUUAGGCUUCAGUUUCGGGUUUUGGGUAAGGGUUAUGGUUAGGUUCAGGGCUAUUGUAAGGGUUAGGUUUAGGGUUAAAUGUGGACUAGCGUUAUGCUUAGAGUUAGGUUUAAGAUUAGGGUUUGGGUUAGAUUUAGAUUUAGGGUUAUGUUUCGGGUUCGGGUUUGGAUGAAGUUUAGGAUAUGGUGAGGGUUAUUUUUAGGAUUAGGGCUAGAGUUUGGGUUUGUGUUCUGGUUAGUGUUAAGGUUAGGUUUAGGGUUCGGAUUAGGGUUAGGAGUUAUGUUUGGAGUUAGGGUUACGUUUAGGUUUAGGGUUUGUGUGAAGUUUAGGUUAAGGGUGAGGGUUACAGUUAGGGUUAGGGUAAGGGUGAGGGUUAUUGUCAGAGUUAUUGUAAGGGUUAGGUUUAGGGUAUUACAGGUGGGCCAAGGUUAAGGUUAGGGUUAGAUUUAGCGGUAGGAUUAGGGUUAAAAUUAGGGUGAGCUCUAGGUUAGGGAUAGGGUGAAGUUUAAGAUAGGGUGAGGGUUAGGGUUAGGGUUAUGGCUGAGGUUUGGGUUGUUUAGGGUUAGGGUUAAGUUUACGGGUUCUGUUUAGUUUUAGGGAUAACGUUAGAUUUUAGGUUAGGGUUAAGUUUAGUGUUACGGUUAGGGUUAGGGUCGCGGUUUUGUGUUAGGCGUUGUGGUUGGGAUGAGGGUUAGGUUUAGGGUUAGGGUUCGGUAGGGUUAGGAUUAUGGUUAUGGUAAGGUGUUAGGUGUUAGAGUUUUAGUUUAGGGUUAGGGUUUGGGUGAGGGUUCCAGUUAGUCAUUGUGGUUCUGGUCAUGCUUAUUUUUGGUUUAGGGUUAGGGUUAGGUUUAUGAUUAGGUUUAGGGUUAGUGUUAGAGUUAGGGAGAGAGUGAGGGUUAAUGUUUGGGUUAGGCUUUGGUGUUAGGCGUUAAGGUUUGGGUUAGGGUUAUCGUUAGGGCUUAGGGGUUCAGGUUAGUGUUAGGGUUAGGGUUAGGGAUAGCAUUAGGGUUAGGGUUGGGGGAUAGGGUUAGGGGUUAGUGUGAGGGUUAUGGUUAUGGUUUUACAGUUAAGGUGAGGGUUUAGGGGAAGUCUUAUGUUUAGGGUUAGAGUUAGGGUUAGGGUUAGAUGUAGCGUAAGAUUUCAGUUUAGGUUCAGGUUUUGAAUUAUAGUUAGUGUUCUAUUUAGGAUUAAGGUGAGAGUUAGGGUUAGGGUUAGGAUUAGGUCUACGGUUAGGAUUAGGACUAGGUCUAGGGUUAGGUUCAGGGCUAAUGUAAGGCUUAGUUUUAGGGUUACAGGUGGAGUAGCGUUAUGAUUAGAGUUUGGCUUAAGGGUAGGAUUUGGGUUAGGUUUAGGUUUAGGGUUAAGGUUAAGGUUAGGGUUGGAUGAAGUUUAGGAUGGGGUGAGGGUUAUUCUUAUGGUUAGGUCUAAUGUUUGAUUUUGUGUUCAGCUUAGUGUUAAGGUUAGGUUUAGGGUUCGGGUUAGGGUUAGGUGUUAUGUUUAGGGUUAGUGUUAGGUUUAGGUUCAGGGUUAGAGUGACAUUUAGGUUCAGGGUGAGGGUUAAGAUAAGGGUUAGGAUAACGGUGAGGAUUAUACUUAAUGUUAGAAGUUAGGUUUAGGGUGUUAGGGUUAGGUUCAUGGUUAGGGUAGGGUCAAGUUUAGGGUUAAUGGUAGGGUUAGUGUUAGAUUAGGGUUACUGUUCGUGUUUGGGUUAGGGUUAGGGAUAAGUUUAGGGAUAAGUUUAGGGAUAGCAUUCGGUUUAGGGUUGGGGAUACGGUUAGGGGUUAGGGUGAGGGUUAGGGUUAGGUUUACAGUUAAAGUGAGGGUUUAGGGUAAGUGUCAUGGUUAGGGUUAGAGUUAGGGUUAGGGUUAGGGUGAAUUUUCAGUUAAUAGUGAGGGUUAAGGUAAGGGUUAGGGUUAGGGUUAGGGUUAGAGUUAGGAUUAAUAUUAGUGUUAGGGUUAGGAUUAGGGUUAGGGUUAGGGUUAGGGUAAGGGUAAGGUUAGGGUUAAGGCUAGGUUUACGGUCAUGGGUAGGGCUAGGUUAAGGUUAGGUUUAGAGUUAGAGUUAGGGCUAGGGUUUACUGUUAGGGUUAGGGUCAGGUUUAGAGUUAUUGUUAGGGUUAGGGUUAGGGUAGAGUUAAGGUUAGGGUUAAGUUUAGGGUUAGGUUUAGGGUUACGUUUAGGUCAGGGUUAGGGUUAGGAUUAGGGAUAGGGUUAGGUUUAGGGAAAGGGUUAGGGUUCGUGUGAGGGUUAGUGUUAGGUUUACAGUUAAGCUGAUGUUUUACGGUGUUACAGUUAGGGUCAGUCUUAGAGUUAGGGUUAGGUUUAGGUUUAGGGCUAGAGUGAGGGGAUAGUUUACAGUUCGGUUUAGUUUUAGGGUUAGGCUUAGGUUUAGGGUGAAGGUUAAGAUUAGGUUUAGGGUAAAUAUUAGAGUUAGGUGUUUGGGUUACGGUUAGGAUCAGGUUAGGGUUUCGUUUACGGUUUGUGUUAGGGUUAGGUUUUGGUGUUUGGGUUAAUGUUAGGGUCAGGUUUAGUGUUAGCUUUAGGGUUAGGGUUUGGUUUAGCAUUAGGUUUAUUGUGAAGUUUAAGUUAAGGGUGAGGGUUGAGCUUAGGGUUAGUGUUAGGGGUUAGAGUUAGGGUUAAGGUUAGGAUUAGGUUUAGGAUUAAGUUUAGUUUUAGGGUUAGGGUAAGUGUUAGGUUUAAGUCAUGGUUAGGUUUAGGGCUAGGUUAAGGUUAGAGAUAAGGUUAGGUUAAGGGUAGGGUUUAGGUUUAGAUGUUAGCGUGAGGGUUAGUGCCAGGUUUCCAUUUAAGCUGAGUGUGUAGUGUAAGUUUUACGGUUAGGAUUAGGGUUAGAGAUAGAGUUAGGUUCAGGGUUAGGGUUAGGUUUAUGGUUAGGAUGAGGGUUAGGGUUAGAGUUGGGGGAGAUUUAGUAUUAUGUUUAGUUUUAGGUUUAGAGUUAGGGUGAAGUUUAUGUUAAGUGUGAGGGUUAGAGUUAGGGUUAGGGGUUAGGGUUCCGGUUACGGUCAGGGUUAGGGUUUGGGUUAGGUUUAAUUUUAGGGUUAGGGUUUAAGUUAGGUUUAGGGUUAGCUUUAGUUUUGGUUAGGGUUAGGAUUUGAAUGAAGUUAGGGUAGGUUUAGGGUUAUGGGUAGGGUGACAUUUUGGUUAGAGUUAUUGUUAGGGGUUAGGGUUAGGUUUGAGUUUAUGGUAGGGUUAAAGUUAGGGUUAAGGUUAGGUUAGGGUUAUGGUCAGGGUUAGGAUUAGGUUUAGGAUGAGGGUUAAGAUCAGAGUUAUUGUAAGGGUUAGUUUUAGGGUUAGGGUUAGGGUUAUGGCUAAGGUUUGGUUUAGUUUUCAGGUUAGUGUUAAGGUUGUGUUUCGUGUUAGGGUUAAGUUUACGGGUUCUGUUUAGUUUUAGGGUUUGGGUUAGAUUUUAGGUUAGGGUUAAGUUUAGUGUUAUGGUUAGGGUUAGGGUUAGGGUUACUUUUUGUGUUAGGCGUUGUGGUUGGGGUGAGGUUUAGGUUUAGGGUUAGGUUUGGGUAGGGUUAGGAUUAUGGUUACGGUAAGGUGUUAGGAUUUAGAGGUGUAGUUUAGGGUUAGGGUUUGGGUGAGGGUUCCGGUUAGGCAUUGUGGUUCUGGUCAUGGUUAGAUUUGGUUUAGGGUUUGGGUUAGGUUUAUGAUUAUUUUUAGUGUUAGUGUUCGAGUUAGUUUGAGAAUUACUUUUAAGGUUAGGGUUAGGCUUUGGUGUUACGGGUUAGGUUUUGGGUUAGGGUUAGGGUUAUCGUUAGGGCUUAGGGGUUCAGGUUAGUGUUAGGGUUAGGGUUAGGGACAGCAUUAGGGUUAGGGUUGGGGAUACGGUUAUGGGUUCGAGUGAGGGUUAUGGUUAGUUUUACAGUUAAGGUGAGGGUUUAGGAUAAGUGUUCCGAUUAGGGUUAGACAUAGAGUUAGGGUUAGGUUUACGGUUAAGGUUAGGUGUAGGAUAAGAUUUAGGUUUAGGGUUAGUGUUAGUGUUCUAUUUAGGGUCAAGGUUAGAGUUCGGGUUAGGGUUAGGAUUAGGUCUUGUGUUAGGAUUAGGUUUCGGAUUAGGCUCAGGACUAUUUUAAGGUUUAGGUUUAGGGUUACAGUUGGACUAGCAUUAUGGUUAGAGUUAGAUUUAAUGUUAGGGUUUGUGUUAGGUUUAGGUUUAGGUCUAAAGUUAGCGUUAGGGUUUGGAUGAAGUUUAGGAUAGGGCGAGGGUUAUUUUUAGGGUUAGGGCUAGAAUCUGGGUUUGUGUUCAGGUUAGUGCUAAAGGUUACGUUUAGGGUUCAGGUUAGGGUUAGUGUUUAUGUUUAGAUUAGGUGUAGGGUUAGGGUUAUUGUGAGGUUUAGUUUAAUGGUGAGGGUUAGGAUAAGGGUUUGGAUUAGGGUUAGGAUUAUAGUUAGUGUUAGAGGUUAGGUUUAGGGUGUUAGGGUUAGGUUUAUGGUUAGGGAAGGGUUAAGUUUAGGGUUAAUAUUAGAUUUGGGUUACUGUUCACGUUAGGGUUAGGGUUAGGGAUAAUGUGAGGGAUAGAUAGCGUUAGGUUUAGGGUUGGGGAUACGGUUAAGGGUUAGGGUGAGGGUUAGCUUUAGGCUUCCAUUUAUGGUGAGGGUUUAGGGUAAUUGUUAUGGUUAGGGUUAGAGUUACAGUUAGGCUUAGGGUUAGGGUGAAGUUUCAGUUAAUAGUCAGUGUUAGGGUUAAAGUUACAGUUAUGGUUAAGGUUAGUGUUAGGUUUAGGUUUAGGGUUAGGUUUAGGGUAGGGGUAAGGUUAGGGUUAAGGCUAGGUUUACUGUAAAGGGUAGGGCUAGGUUAGGGUUAGGGUUAGGUUUAGAGUUAGAGUUAGUUCUAGGGUUUAGAGUUAGGGUUAGGGUUAGGGUCAGGGUUAGAGUUAUUGUUAGGGUUAGGGUUAAGGUAGAGUUAAUGUUAGUGUUAAGUUUACGGUUAGGGUAAGGGUUAGGAUUGGGUCAGGGUUAAGGUUAGGAUUAGGGUUAGGAAAAGGGUUAGGGUUUCUUGUGAUGGUUAGUGUUAGGUUUACAGUUAAGCUGAUGUUUUAGGACGUUACGGUUAGGGGUAGGGUUAGAGUUAGGGUUAGGGUUAGGUGUAGGGAUAGGGCUAGAGUGAGGGGAUAGUUUAGGGUUAGGUUUAGUUUCAGGGUUAGGCUUAGGCUUACGUUUAGGGUGAAGUAUAGGUUAAGGAUGAGGGUUAGGGUCAGUGUUAGGGUUAUGUGUUUGCAUUAAGUUUCGGGUCAGGUUAAGGUUAGAUUAAGGUUAGGGUUAGUGUUAGGGUUCGGUUUAUGUGUUUGGGUUACUGUUAGGGUCAGGUUUAGGGUUAGGGUUAGGAUUCUGUUUAGGGUUAAGUUUAGGGUGCAGUUAAAGUUAAGGGUGAGGGUUGAGCUUAGGGUUAGUGUUAGGGUUAAGGUUAGGAUUAGGUUUACGGUUAAGUUUAGGUUUAUGGUUAGGUUUAGAGUACGUGUUAGGGUUAAUUCACUGUUAGGUUUAGGGCUAGGUUAAGGUUAGAGAUAAGGUUAGGUUAAGGGUUGGGGUUAGGUUUAGAUGUUAGGGUGAGGGUUAGUUCUAGGUUUCCAUUUAAGCUGAGUGUGUAGGGUAAGUUUUAGGGUUAGGAUUAGGGUUAGAGUUUGAGUUAGGGUCAGGUUUGGGUUAAGUUUAGGGUUACUGUUUGGUUUAUGGUUAGGAUUAGGGUUAGGGCCAGGGUUGGGGGAGAUUUAGUGUUAUGUUUAUUUUUAGGGUUAGAGUUAGGGUGAAGUUCAUGUUAAGCGUGAGGGUUAGGGUUAGGGGUUAGGGUUCAGGUUAGGGUCCGGGUUAGGGUUGGGUUUACGUUUUGGGUUAGGGUUAGGUUUAGGUUUAGUUUUAGUUUUGGUUAGGGUAAGGGUUUGAAUGAAGUUAGGGUAGGUUUAGGGUUAUGGUUUUGGGUGAAAUUUUGGUUAAGAGUGAGGGUUCGGUUUAGGGUUAGUGGUUAGUGUUAGGUUUAGGGUUAAGGUUAGUUUAGUCUAAGGAUUAGGGUUAGAGUUAGGGUUAGGGAUUAGUGUUUCAGUUAGGUUUACGGUAGGGUUAUAUUUAGGGUUAAGUUUAGGGUUAGAGUAAGAGUUAGAGUUAUGUUUACAGUUAAGGUGAGGGUUUUGGGUAAGUGUUAUGGUUAGGGUUAGGGUUAGGGCUAGUGUUAGGGUUAGAAUUAGAGUUAGGGGUUAGGGUUUGAUUUAAGUUUAUGGUAUGGUUAAGGUUAGGUUAAGGUUAGGAUUAGAAUUAGGUUUAGGGUGAGGGAUAUGGUCAGAGUUAUUGUAAGGGUUUGGAUUAGGGUUAAAGGUUGGCCAAGGUUAAGGUUAGGUUUAGGUUUAGGGUAGGUUUAAGUUUAUGGUAGGGUUAAAGUUAGGGUUAAGGUUAGGUUAGGGUUUGGUUCAGGGUUAGGAUUAGGAUUAGGUUUAGGGUGAGGUUUAGGGUCAGAGUUAUUGUAAAGUUUAGGUUUAGGGUUACAGGUAGGCCAAGGUUAAGUGUAGGGUUAGGUUUAGGGUUAGGGUUCAGGUUAAAGUUAGGGUUAGCUUUAGGUUAGGGAUAGGGUGAAGUUUUAGAUAGCGUGACGGUUAGGGUUAUGGCUAACGUUUGGGUUCGUUUUCAGGUUAGUGUUAAGGUUAUGUUUAGGUUUAGGGUUAAGUUUAGGGGUUCUGUUUAGUUUUAGGGAUAAGGUUAGAUUUUAGGUUAGGGUUAUGUUUAGUGUUACGGUUAGGGUGAGGGUUAGGAUUUGUGUUAGGCGUUGUGGUUGGAGUUAGGGCUAGGUUUAGGGUUAGGGUUGUGUAGGUUUAGGAUUAUGGUUAUGGUAAGGUGUUAGGGGUUAGAGGUGUGGUUUAGGGUUGGGGUUUGGGUGAGGUUUCCAGUUAGGCAUUGUGGUUCUGGUUAUGCUUAGGUUUGGUUUAGGGUUAGGGUUAGGCUUAUGAUUAAGUUUUAGGUUACUGUUAGAGUUAGGGUGAUAGUUAGGGUUAAAGUUUGGGUUAGGCUUUGGUGUUAGGGGUUAGGGUUUGAGUUAGGGUUAGGGUUAUUGUUAGCGCUUAGGGGUUCAGGUUAGUGUUAGGGUUAGGAUUAGGGAUAGCAUUAGGGUUAGGGCUGGGGGAUUCGGUUAGGGGUUAGAGUGAGGCUUAAGGUUAGUUUUACACUUAAGGUCAGGGUUUAGGGUACCUGGUAUGAUUAGGGUUAGAGUUAGUGUUAGGGUUAAGUUUAGCGUUAGGAUUAGGUGUAAGGUAAGAUUUCGGUUUAGUUUCAGGUUCAGGGUGAGAGUUAGUGUUCUACUUAGUUUCAAGGUUAGAGUUAGGGUUAGGGUUAGGAGUAGGUCUAGUGUUAGGUUUAGGAUUAGGUUUAGGGUUAGGUUCCGGGCUAUUGUAAGGCUUAGGUUUAGGGUUACAGGUGGACUAGUGUUCUGGUUAGAGUUAGGUUUAAAUUUAGGGUUUGGCUUAGGUUUAGGUUUAGGGUUAGGGCUAGAGUUUGAUUAUGUGUUCAGGUGAGUGUUAAGGUUAGGUUUAGGGUCCAGGUUAGGGUUAGGGAUUAUGUUUAGGGUUAGAGUUAGGUUUAGGAUUAUUAUGAAGUUUAGGUUAAGGGUGAGGGUUAGGAUUAUAGUUAGUGUUAGAGGUUAGGUUUAGGGUAUUAGGGUUAGGUUUAUGGUUAGGGUAGCGUUAAGUUUAGGGUUAAUGUUAGAGUUAGUGUAGAGUUAUGGUUAGGGUUAGGGUAAGGGUUAGGUUUAGGUUAUGUUUAGGGUUAAAAUUAGGGACAGGGUUAGGGUCAGGGGUUCGUGUGAGGGUUAGUCUUAGGUUUACACUUACGGUGAUGUUUUAGGGUGUUUUGGUUAGGGUUAGGGUCAGAGUUAGGGUUAGGGGGUUAGGUUUAGGGCUAGAGUUAGGGGAUAGUUUAGGGUUAGGUUUAGUUUUAGGGUUAGGUGUUUGGGUUAAGGUUAGGGUCAGGUUAGGGUUAGGGCUAGGCUUAGGGUUAGGCUUACUGUUAGGGUUAGGUGUUUGGGUUAAUGUUAGGGUCAGGUUUAGGGUUAGGAUUAGGAUUCGGUUUAGGGUUAGGGUUACGUAUAGGGUGAAGUUGAACUUAACGGUGAGGGUUGAGCUUAGGGUUAGCGUUAGGGGUUAGCGUUAGGGUUGAGUUUAGGAUUAGAUUUAGGGUUAGGGUUAGGGUAUGUGUUAGGAUUAAGUUAUGGUUAGGUGUAGGACUAGGAUAAGUUUAGAGGUAGGAUUAGGUGAAGGGUUGGGUUUAGGUUUAGAUGUUAGAGUGAGGGUUAGUGCUAGGUUUCCAUUUAAGCUGAGUGUGUAGGGUAAGUUUUAGGGUUAGGAUUAGGGUUAGAGUUAGGGUCAGGGUUAGGGUUAAGUUUAGGGUUAGGAUUAGGUUUAUGGUUAAGAUUAGGGUUAAGGUCAGGGUUAGGGGGAGAUUUAGUGUUAUGUUUAGUUUUAGGGUUAGGGUUAAGGUGAAGUUUAUGUUAAGCGUGAGCGUUAGAGUUAGGGUUAGGGUUUAGGGUUCAGGUUAGGGUCAGGGGUAGGGGUAGGGUUAAGUUUAGCGUUUGUUUUAGUUUUGAUUAAGGUUAGGGUUUGAAUAAAAUUAGGGUAGUUUUAAGGUUAUGGUUAGGGUGAAAUUUUGGUUAAGGGUGAGAGUUCGGUUUAAGGUUAGGGUUAAGGUUAGAGUUAGGGCUAGUGGUUAGGGUUGGGUUUAGGGUUAAGAUUAGAUUUAGGCUAAGGAUUAGGGUUAGAGGUAAGUGUUUUCGUUAGGUUUAGGGUAGACUUAUAUUUAGGGUGAAGUUUAGGUUUAGCGUAAUAAUUAGAGUUACGUUUACAGUUAAGGUGAGAGUUUUGGGUAUGUGUUACGUUUAGGGUUAGGGUUAGAGUUAGGGUUAGGGUUUAGGGUUAGGUUUAAUUUUAUGGUAGGGUUAACGUUAGGAUUAAGGUUAGGUUAGGGUUAGGAUAGGGUUAGGAUUAGGAUUAGGUUUAGGGUGAGGUUUAGGGUCAGAGUUAUUGUAAGGGUUAGGUUUAGGGUUACUGGUGGGCCAAGGUUAAGGUUAGGGUUAGGUUUUGGGGUAGGGUUAGGGUUAAAGUUAGUGUUAGUUUUAGCUUAGGGAUAGGGUGAAGUUUAAGAUAGGGUUAGGGUUAGGGUUAGGGUUAUGGCUAAGGUUUGGAUACGUUUUCAGGUUAGUGUUAGGGUUAUGUUUAUGUUUAGGGUUAAGUUUACGGGUUAUGUUUAUUUCUGGUUUAGGGUUAGAUUUUAGAUUAGUGUUAAGUUUAGUGUUACGGUUAGUGUUAGGUUUACGGUUUGUGUUAGGCGUUGUGGUUGGGGUGAGGGUGAGGUUUAGGGUUAGUCUUAGAGUGAGAGUGAGAGUUAGGGUUAAGGUUUGGGUUAGGCUUUGGUGUUAGGGGUUAAGUUUUGGGUUAGGGUUAGGGUUAUCGUCAGGGCUUAGGGGUUCUGGUUAGUGUUAGGGGUAGAGUUAG
This is a long non-coding RNA of Loxodonta africana (African savanna elephant), 10426 nucleotides long. RefSeq lists it as uncharacterized. The transcript is spliced from 2 exons. The record is from RefSeq and is a predicted model, not a curated record. Lineage: Eukaryota; Metazoa; Chordata; Mammalia; Proboscidea; Elephantidae.